RNAcentral lists this unclassified non-coding RNA (335 nucleotides) under Hevea brasiliensis (rubber tree). Lineage: Eukaryota; Viridiplantae; Streptophyta; Magnoliopsida; Malpighiales; Euphorbiaceae. The record is from RNAcentral.
UGAUCCUCAUCACCACUGCAAAAAGUCAAAGGACAUUUCCACUAAGAAAGGACAUGGUCACACUGAUGUUUUAUUACCACACUUGACAGUUUGAAAAAAGUUUUUUUUUGGCAUGUGUGCAUGCGUGUGUCCGUCUGUUAAGGGUUAUAGAAACUUAGCAAUUGUUUUAUUCCCCAAAACAUCUAUCAUUUGGGAAAAAUACCUAUCCUGAAGUAGACUCAUCUGGCUGUUGAUGCCCACCAAUACAAUAUGCAUCAUAUUACCAAAGUUAGCCGGUCCUGAAUAUCCAUUUGGAAUGGCUUCAUGAUGGUUAUGAGUUGUUUCCCUUAAUGCAG